CUUACCUACGGGGCGCAGCAGUGAGGAAUAUUGGUCAAUGGGCUUACGCCUGAACCAGCCAAGUCGCGUGAGGGAAGACUGCCCUAUGGGUUGUAAACCUCUUUUGUCAGGGAGCAACGCCGGCUACGUGUAGCCGGACUGAGAGUACCUGAAGAAAAAGCAUCGGCUAACUCCGUGCCAGCAGCCGCGGUAAUACGGAGGAUGCGAGCGUUAUCCGGAUUUAUUGGGUUUAAAGGGAGCGUAGAUGGGUUGUUAAGUCAGUUGUGAAAGUUUGCGGCUCAACCGUAGAAUUGCAUU
RNAcentral lists this ribosomal RNA (297 nucleotides) under uncultured bacterium. RNAcentral's name for it is "partial 16S ribosomal RNA". It matches the Rfam family "Bacterial small subunit ribosomal RNA", at positions 332 to 627 of the family's 1533-position model. The record is from RNAcentral.